RNAcentral lists this long non-coding RNA (254 nucleotides) under Lathyrus oleraceus (garden pea). Its description in RNAcentral is "Pisum sativum (pea) long non-coding RNA (PSAT_LNC018249)". Lineage: Eukaryota; Viridiplantae; Streptophyta; Magnoliopsida; Fabales; Fabaceae. The record is from RNAcentral.
AGGAUAGGGAGAAAAAAUUAAAAAAGAGAAAAAGGAGAGGAAAGGAAAGGGAUUUUCCUUUAGAAGAGAAAAGGUCACAAACAGUGAAAGGAGGUCUACAUUUUGGAAAAGGGGAUUUUAUGAUUCCUCUUCAAAAAAAAAAUUCUCCACAAACACUUCUUAAUUUCCCAUUUAUCCAUAGACACCACACCCCUCAACUGUUCAUCGUCUUCCUCCGCUAAGAACACCAUCCGCCGUUCUCACACCCCUCUUCC